RNAcentral lists this ribosomal RNA (253 nucleotides) under uncultured bacterium. RNAcentral describes it as "partial 16S ribosomal RNA". It matches the Rfam family "Bacterial small subunit ribosomal RNA", at positions 524 to 776 of the family's 1533-position model. The record is from RNAcentral.
UACGUAGGGUGCGAGCGUUAAUCGGAAUUACUGGGCGUAAAGCGUGCGCAGGCGGUAAUGUAAGACAGAUGUGAAAUCCCCGGGCUCAACCUGGGACCUGCAUUUGUGACUGCAUUGCUGGAGUGCGGCAGAGGGGGAUGGAAUUCCGCGUGUAGCAGUGAAAUGCGUAGAUAUGCGGAGGAACACCGAUGGCGAAGGCAAUCCCCUGGGCCUGCACUGACGCUCAUGCACGAAAUCGUCGGGAGCAAACAGG